ACAGUGGUGGUUCAGUGGUAGAAUUCUUGCCUUCCAUGCAGGAGACCUGAGUUCGGUUCCUGGCCAAGGCA
RNAcentral lists this transfer RNA (71 nucleotides) under Loxodonta africana (African savanna elephant). It matches the Rfam family "tRNA". Rfam says of the family: Transfer RNA (tRNA) molecules are approximately 80 nucleotides in length. Their secondary structure includes four short double-helical elements and three loops (D, anti-codon, and T loops). Further hydrogen bonds mediate the characteristic L-shaped molecular structure. tRNAs have two regions of fundamental functional importance: the anti-codon, which is responsible for specific mRNA codon recognition, and the 3' end, to which the tRNAs corresponding amino acid is attached (by aminoacyl-tRNA synthetases). tRNAs cope with the degeneracy of the genetic code in two manners: having more than one tRNA (with a specific anti-codon) for a particular amino acid; and 'wobble' base-pairing, i.e. permitting non-standard base-pairing at the 3rd anti-codon position. The record is from Rfam by way of RNAcentral. Lineage: Eukaryota; Metazoa; Chordata; Mammalia; Proboscidea; Elephantidae.